RNAcentral lists this unclassified non-coding RNA (1012 nucleotides) under Leishmania donovani. Its description in RNAcentral is "gene:LdHU3.07.1440(CDS-product:Dpy-30_motif_conta ining_protein_putative)". The record is from RNAcentral. Lineage: Eukaryota; Euglenozoa; Kinetoplastea; Trypanosomatida; Trypanosomatidae.
CGCACGUGGUUCCUGCGGUGCCGCGUGUCACGCUCGGCGAACUUGCACGCGCGCUGCACACAACCGCGCAGCCUCGUAACGCAUCCCGUGGCGUGCCCGCUCUCUAGAGAGCGCUGCCUCUCCUUUUCUCGUUUGGUACGCGUAGUGUGAGCCCCACGAUCAUGUCAUCGCCUACAGCGACGCCUGCAGCGACGCCGAUAGCGAACGCCGGAGAGGAGCGCCCGCCAUUGGCGGCACCAGUCCCCACCGAAGACGGCCUUCUGCCUGCGGCGGCGGCCACGAAUGCCGCCGCCAAUGACAACGACCUCACCACCCUCUCCACUCAGGUCUACCUGGAGCGCACGGUGCUGGGGGUGCUGGCGCUUGCUCUGGAGGACGUGUGCCGAGUGCGACCACCGAAUCCCGUAGACUACCUCGGCAGCUAUCUUCUCCGUAGAUCGACCGCGAACAACACCGUCGAGGUGUCCUACGAGGACACCGUUCCCAAGGCCGUACCGACUACCGACGAGUGAGGUGGUCGUGAGGCGUGGCGGAGGGGGUGGCGUGUCUUCCGUCCCGUGUACGUCUACUGGUGGCGGUGUCGUCCUCUUGGAUGCUUCACUGAGGGCACCUUCCCCUCUGCUUUCUUUUGCGCUCACUGAGCCGCGACUGCCGCUCUGCUCGCCGCGGCGUGCGACCGCCCAUGAAAGCCGAGAUGCAGCGGUGGGCUUAGGGUGCAGGGCGAACGAAGGGGUUUGUGCUUCCCUUCUUGCUUGUAGGGACGCGAGCUUGGCGUGCACGCUUUUGAGGAUAACGAUGUACACUGACUUUCCAAACUAGAAGGGCGAGGCAGAGAGAGAGGCCUGAAAAGUGGACCACGAAGGGCCAAGGAGAGGGGUGAAGAUGCGCUCGACGUGGUGGUAUAACAUGCCUCGCUCACGACCUCCUCGGCUCUCAGCUUUCCCGCAUGCGUGUGUUGUUUUUCUUCGCUCUCCUGGCCUCGACUCCGUUUUGGGCGAUGCCGCGAGCUACG